This is a long non-coding RNA of Heterocephalus glaber (naked mole-rat), 1688 nucleotides long. NCBI's taxonomy places the organism in Eukaryota, Metazoa, Chordata, Mammalia, Rodentia, Bathyergidae. The record is from Ensembl.
GCACCAUUAUCCGGGGCUCGUGGACACAGCAAAGCUCGUGGACGCAGUAAAGUCCGAGAAUUGGCACCUGGGUGCUUCUGAUUCUCGAGUCUGCAUCUCCUGGAAUUCCGAUGCAGAGCUCUCUAGGUCCCCGGCACUUCAGGUGCUAAGCAUAAGCUCCUAGGCGUCGCACCUACCACCUCAAAUAUUUCUCAGAUAUUAAGAUCCUACCAUGUGGUCCUCUGAGCUUCGUCUCUGGUGUCGGCUUCUUCCAUUUACUCCAACCAGGAGCACAUUCGCUCAUUCAGCCAGACAUGGCAGCAUUUCAGGACUUGGGGGGGGGGGGUGAGACAGGGUCUUGUUAUGUAGUCCAAUCUCUCUUGAACUCACUAUGUAGUCCAGAAUGGCCUGAACUUGCGAUUCCCCUCCCUCAGCCUCCCGAGUUUCGAGAUUACAGUUGUGUGGCACCACGCCUGACUGCAGUGUGAUCUUUUAAAAUCCAGACCUGCCUUGCUGGUCAACCAGGACCGCGUGUUCCUUCACGAGCCCGGAGCCCGACAGCCUCUCCUGCAUCCUCACGCCGGGCUCUGGCCACGCCCCCCUGCCAGGGGCUCACCCGCGCCCCUCCUCGGCAGCUGCGCCUCGCCGGGCCUCUCCGGGCCUCGCCGGGCCCCGGGAGGGGAAGGGGCUCCACCUGCGCGCCACCUGCUGGGCCGCCCGACCUCCCGCAGACCCGGCCAGACCUCGGCGAAGCUCACGCCUCCGGGCUGCACAUCCGCGCCGGCCGCAAGCUCCAGGACGCGGCGGCGAGCCUGAGCCGCUGCGCAUGCGCGCAGGUGCGCGUGCACGCAACAGCCCGCACGCACCGGCACGCACGCGCCCGGCCAGUGAGACUAGGAAGGACAGGUUUGGGUUUGGGGUUUUUUGUUUGUUUGUUUGUUUGUUUGGGGGGGCCUUCGCGCUGAGCUGCAUCCUCGGCCCUUUUUAUUUGCCGACAGAAUCUGGAUGAGUCAGUAAGUUGUCCUGGCGGGGCUUCUCCUUCCUCAGGCUCCCUCGUGCUGAACUCUGGGCGCGCGCCCAGCUGAGGACGUGGCCCGAGGGAGGGAGGUCAGCGGGAGCUUCACAACGUUUGGCCCUGGUUGUGCGCCCUGCAGGGUGUGCCGUGAAGCUGUUGGUGGUUCUGAGGGCAAUCAUAAGCCUGGGGAAGCGUGUACUGUACUGUGUAAUAAUGAAGACAGCAGUUAUCCGCACUUUGAAAGCAAGUUUUGCAAAAUAGUUACGCACUUCCUUUGAGUCCUUUCUGGCCUCUUACUUGAGGUUCGGGUUCCCCUUCUGUGGCACAGCCUGUCCUGUGUGGACCCAGUAUGGCCGCUGAGGCUGCAGGGAGCUGUUGCGGGGCAUUUGUCCUUUCCCCAAGGUCGCUCCCUUGAAUGUGAUGAGUUCUAAUAAGCCACAUCCUGUAGGACAUCAGCACACCUUUGGGGGCAACACAGGACUGAGAUGUAGCCUGCACAGGUCAGAGGUCCAAAGUGAGUUUCACUGGACAAACAUCAAGGUGUCAGUAGGUUGGGGCACUGCGACUCAAGCCUGGGUUCCUGGUACUCUGGAGGUGAAGGUGGACAAUCUGAUCCUGGGAGUUCAAGACCAACCUGGACAACACAGCCAGAGCCUGUCUGUAAAAAUGUAAAUAAAAUCAAUUUAAAAAGAAA